RNAcentral lists this ribosomal RNA (422 nucleotides) under uncultured archaeon. RNAcentral's name for it is "partial 16S ribosomal RNA". It matches the Rfam family "Archaeal small subunit ribosomal RNA", at positions 322 to 746 of the family's 1478-position model. The record is from RNAcentral.
CCUACGGCAGCAGCAGGCGAGAAAACUUUGCAAUGUGCGAAAGCACGACAAGGUUAAUCCGAGUGGUUUCUGCUAAAGAAACCUUUUGUUAGUCCUAGAAACACUGAUGAAUAAGGGGUGGGCAAGUUCUGGUGUCAGCCGCCGCGGUAAAACCAGCACCUCAAGUGGUCAGGAUGAUUAUUGGGCCUAAAGCAUCCGUAGCCGGCUAUGUAAGUUUUCGGUUAAAUCUGUGCGCUUAACGUACAGGCUGCCGGGAAUACUGCAUAGCUAGGAAGUGGGAGAGGUAGACGGUACUCGGUAGGAAGGGGUAAAAUCCUUUGAUCUAUUGAUGACCACCUGUGGCGAAGGCGGUCUACCAGAACACGUUCGACGGUGAGGGAUGAAAGCUGGGGGAGCAAACCGGAUUAGAUACCCGCGUAGUC